RNA transcript from Eutrema salsugineum, 1021 nucleotides. It is a transcript of the gene named katanin p80 WD40 repeat-containing subunit B1 homolog, with no coding region annotated. Lineage: Eukaryota; Viridiplantae; Streptophyta; Magnoliopsida; Brassicales; Brassicaceae. The transcript has 5 exons. The record is from RefSeq and is a predicted model, not a curated record.
GAGAUGAUGAGGUGCUUCCUCACCUAUCGAAUAAUAUUGACAACAUAAAAAACUUCCUUCGCUUUACCAUUUUUCUUCUUCUCUUCUGUUUCUUUUUUUCUUUCUGCUCCGUGUCACUAUUUGAAUCUCUGAUUAUCUCGUUUCCUUCAAAAUUCUUGUUCCCGGAAUUUGAUUCUUUUCUCACGUUCUAGAUUUGAAAUCUCAACGGGAAGCAACCUCCGUGUUUCUCCUUUUGAAUUUCCCGAAAAUCUCGAGCUCUGUCGUGUAGUGACAAUUGGGAUUUUUUUUUCAGCUCCGAUUCACCGUUUUUUCGAUCGAUUACGGAAGCUAGAGAUUCGGAUUCCAUUGAUUCCCACGGAUUUGCUGGAAAUCGAGUAGAAAAUGGCGAAGCGUGGAUAUAAGCUGCAGGAGUUUUUGGCACAUUCUGCAAAUGUAAAUUGCUUAAGUAUCGGAAAGAAGACAUCACGGCUCCUUAUUACUGGUGGUGAUGAUUACAAUGUCAACCUUUGGGCGAUCGGCAAGCCUACUUCUUUAAUGAGUUUAUGUGGACAUACUAGUGCAGUGGAUUCAGUAGCUUUUGACUCGGCAGAAGUUUUGGUGCUUGGUGGAGCUUCUUCGGGUGUGAGAAAGCUUUGGGAUCUAGAAGAAGCAAAGAUGUAGUGGUUCGAGCUUUUACUGGACAUAGAUCCAAUUGUUCUGCUGUUGAAUUUCAUCCAUUUGGUGAAUUUUUGGCAUCAUAGAUCAAGUGACACGAAUUUGAAGAUUUGGGACAUCAGAAAGAAGGGAUGCAUACAGAGGUACAAGGGUCAUACUCGUGGCAUCAACACUAUCAAAUUUACUCCAACGUAUGUUGUAAAUUUUGUAGUGACUGGAGGACUUGACAAUGUUGUAAAGGUAUGGGAUUUGACUGCUGGAAAGCUUAUACAUAAUUUUAUCUUUCAUGUUUCACCUGAUCACCGGUCUGAGGUUUAUUUGCGCUGUAACCUUUCAAAUUCAUCUAUGAAAAUGAAUUAAAUUAUAA